GUUCGGAUUGCAGGCUGCAACUCGCCUGCAUGAAGUCGGAGUUGCUAGUAAUCGCAGAUCAGAAUGCUGCGGUGAAUGCGUUCCCGGGUCUUGUACACACCGCCCGUCACACCAUGGAAGUUGGGGGCGCCCGAAGUCGGCUAGGAAAUAGGCUGCCUAAGGUGAAACCAAUGACUGGGGUGAAGUCGUAACAAGGUACC
RNAcentral lists this ribosomal RNA (200 nucleotides) under uncultured bacterium. Its description in RNAcentral is "partial 16S ribosomal RNA". It matches the Rfam family "Bacterial small subunit ribosomal RNA", at positions 1291 to 1500 of the family's 1533-position model. The record is from RNAcentral.